Gallus gallus (chicken) is the source of this 399-nucleotide long non-coding RNA. RefSeq lists it as uncharacterized. NCBI's taxonomy places the organism in Eukaryota, Metazoa, Chordata, Aves, Galliformes, Phasianidae. The transcript is spliced from 3 exons. The record is from RefSeq and is a predicted model, not a curated record.
GUAAAAAAAAACAGUGUGUCCACGGAUACUGUGAGCAGUUCUGGCUCUCUCUACCACAAAAAGAAAAGGAUAUAAUAAAACUAGAAGAUGUGCAGAGAAGAGUGACACAAGAUCUAAAGAACCAUCCCGGGAGAGAGUUAAGUGGAUCAAAUUUCAGCACCUUAUGUUGCAGGUGGAAGAUGAACAUCAGGAUCAUCACACUGUUCCCAGUAGUCUUAACAUUUCUGAGACUGAUAGAGAUCCUUCUCCAGGAAAUGGAAUCCUUCCAGGGAGAAAGAGAAAGAAUUUAGAGACCUCAAUCCUCAAUGAGAAUUGGAAGCAGAAUACAUGAAGCACCUGACAUCUAUUAUAGGUAUACUCAGGUAUUAACACGGGCUGAAAAAAAUUGUCUAUUUCCCA